GUUCUUGUAGUUGAACUACAACGGUGAUUUUUCAUGUCACUAGUCAUGGUUUAAGACCAUGUAAGAAUAU
RNAcentral lists this transfer RNA (70 nucleotides) under Elephantulus intufi (Bushveld elephant shrew). Its description in RNAcentral is "tRNA-Glu". The record is from RNAcentral. Lineage: Eukaryota; Metazoa; Chordata; Mammalia; Macroscelidea; Macroscelididae.